UCUUGACGGUACCUAAUCAGAAAGCCACGGCUAACUACGUGCCAGCAGCCGCGGUAAUACGUAGGUGGCAAGCGUUAUCCGGAAUUAUUGGGCGUAAAGCGCGCGUAGGCGGUUUUUUAAGUCUGAUGUGAAAGCCCACGGCUCAACCGUGGAGGGUCAUUGGAAACUGGAAAACUUGAGUGCAGAAGAGGAAAGUGGAAUUCCAUGUGUAGCGGUGAAAUGCGCAGAGAUAUGGAGGAACACCAGUGGCGAAGGCGACUUUCUGGUCUGUAACUGACGCUGAUGUGCGAAAGCGUGGGGAUCAAACAGGAUUAGAUACCCUGGUAGUCCACGCCGUAAACGCUGAGUGCUAAGUGUUAGGGGGUUUCCGCCCCUUAGUGCUGCAGCUAACGCAUUAAGCACGCCGCCUGGGGAGUACGACCGCAAGGUUGAAACUCAAAGGAAUUGACGGGGACCCGCACAAGCGGUGGAGCAUGUGGUUUAAU
This 485-nucleotide ribosomal RNA is filed under the name Staphylococcus aureus. RNAcentral's name for it is "bacterial SSU rRNA". It matches the Rfam family "Bacterial small subunit ribosomal RNA", at positions 467 to 950 of the family's 1533-position model. Lineage: Bacteria; Bacillati; Bacillota; Bacilli; Caryophanales; Staphylococcaceae. The record is from RNAcentral.